CAGCAGCCACGGUAAUACGAAGGGGGCUAGCGUUGUUCGGAAUUACUGGGCGUAAAGCGCACGUAGGAGGAUAUUUAAGUCAGGGGUGAAAUCCCGCAGCUCAACUGCGGAACUGCCUUUGAUACUGGGUAUCUUGAGUAUGGAAGAGGUUAGUGGAAUUGCGAGUGUAGAGGUGAAAUUCGUAGAUAUUGGGAAGAACACCGGUGGCGAAGGCGGCGACCUGGUCCUUUACUGACGCUGAGGCGCGAAAGCGUGGGGAGCAAACAGGAUUAGAUACCCCUGUAGUCCCUGUCUCUUAUAC
RNAcentral lists this ribosomal RNA (301 nucleotides) under uncultured bacterium. Its description in RNAcentral is "partial 16S ribosomal RNA". It matches the Rfam family "Bacterial small subunit ribosomal RNA", at positions 509 to 807 of the family's 1533-position model. The record is from RNAcentral.